Molecule: transfer RNA, 76 nt
Filed under: Chloroflexota bacterium
Lineage: Bacteria; Bacillati; Chloroflexota
Also listed under: 1 other name
Description: Chloroflexi bacterium tRNA-Thr
Source: RNAcentral
GCCCGCAUAGCUCAGUCGGUAGAGCGCGUUCUUGGUAAGAACGAGGUCUUCAGUUCAAAUCUGAAUGCGGGCUCCA